GGCAGGCUUAACACAUGCAAGUCGAGGGGCAGCGGGCCUGGUAGCAAUACCGGGUGCCGGCGACCGGCGCACGGGUGCGUAACGCGUAUGCAACCUGCCCUGUACAGGGGGAUAACGGAGGGAAACUUCCACUAAUAUCCCAUGGUGUCGCGAGGCCGCAUGGUGUUGCGACUAAAGCUUCGGUGGUACAGGAUGGGCAUGCGUGACAUUAGGUAGUUGGCGGGGUAACGGCCCACCAAGCCGACGAUGUCUAGGGGAGCUGAGAGGCUAACCCCCCACACUGGUACUGAGACACGGACCAGACUCCUACGGGAGGCAGCAGUGAGGAAUAUUGGUCAAUGGACGGAAGUCUGAACCAGCCAUGCCGCGUGGAGGAAGAAGGUCCUAUGGGUUGUAAACUCCUUUUGUUCCGGAGUAAUAAGCGGUUUGCGAACCGUGAUGAGAGUACGGGACGAAUAAGCAUCGGCUAACUCCGUGCCAGCAGCCGCGGUAAUACGGAGGAUGCGAGCGUUAUCCGGAUUUAUUGGGUUUAAAGGGUGCGCAGGCGGCGCGUUAAGUCAGCGGUGAAAUGUCCCGGCUCAACCGGGGAGCUGCCGUUGAUACUGGCGUGCUGGAGUACGACGCGCCGGCGGAAUGUGUCAUGUAGCGGUGAAAUGCUUAAAUAUGCCACAGAACACCGAUCGCGAAGGCAGCUGGCGAGGCCGGUACUGACCCUCAUGCACGAAGCUGGGGAUCAACAGGAUUAGAUACCCUGGUAGUC
Molecule: ribosomal RNA, 760 nt
Filed under: uncultured rumen bacterium
Lineage: Bacteria
Description: bacterial SSU rRNA
Rfam family: Bacterial small subunit ribosomal RNA
Source: RNAcentral